RNAcentral lists this ribosomal RNA (468 nucleotides) under uncultured bacterium. RNAcentral's name for it is "partial 16S ribosomal RNA". It matches the Rfam family "Bacterial small subunit ribosomal RNA", at positions 28 to 507 of the family's 1533-position model. The record is from RNAcentral.
GACGAACGCUGGCGGCGUGCUUAACACAUGCAAGUCGAACGGAAAGGCCCUGCUUUUGUUGCGUGCUCGAUUGGCGAACGGGUGUGUGUCACGUGAGGAUCCUGCCCUUGACUUUGUGAUAACUUCUGGAAACUGGGGCUAAUACCGGAUAGGAGCUACUGCUGCAUGGUGGGGGUUGGAAAGUUUCGGCUGUUGGGGAUGGAUUCGCGGCUUAUCAGCUUGUUGGUGGGGUAGUGGCAUACCAAGGGUUUGACGGGUAGCCGGCCUGAGAGGGUGGACGGGCACCAGACGCCUGAGGGAGGGACCAGAAGGCUAUGGGAGGCAGUGGUCGAGAGCAUUACAGAGUGGGCGGGAGUCUGAGGCAGAAACGUUCGGUGCGGGAUGACGGGCUUUGGGUUGUAAACAGAUUUGGACGGUGACAAGGCGUGCGUGACGGUAAUGGGUAAAGAAGCAACGGCUAACUACGUG